AAUUCUCAACCCCUCUCGAUUUGUUUCGAGAGGGAGCUUGGAUAGUGGGGGCUGCUGGAGACCUAGGAAUUUUCGUCCUUGACUCGGGCUCUCCUUAAAUGCAUCGGCUUGCGGUCGACUUUCGACUUUGCGCGACAAGGCUUUCGGCGUGAUAAUGAUCGCCGUUCGCUGAAGCGCAUGAAUGAAGGUUCCGUGCCUCUAAUCCGUCGACUUUACUAUCUCUUCGGAGAGAAAACGUCUUCCUCAUUGAC
This 251-nucleotide unclassified non-coding RNA is filed under the name uncultured Rhizopogonaceae. RNAcentral's name for it is "sequence contains ITS2". Lineage: Eukaryota; Fungi; Basidiomycota; Agaricomycetes; Boletales; Rhizopogonaceae. The record is from RNAcentral.